CCCGCCUGGGCCCAGCUGCCGGGGACAGGGGUGAGCACGCCAGGGGGCAGGCACAGCGAGAGAAGAAUGUGGACAGGCCAAUCUUGGGGGCACUUGACUCUGUAUGCUGCCCCUGCCCCCACGCAGCACCAUGGUGCCUCGGUGGAUUGGGUGGGAAGCUCCAAGCAUCCACCACCCCAGACCGAAGAGACGUCGAUAUACAUGAGCAUGACACUGCAGCGGGAUACAUGUCAUUAAUGUUCCAAUUGCUGUAAUGCAGAACUCGUCCAUGCACAGCCUCAUCACAGAACCCCCCCAAAAUCAGAGGCAACUGUAGCCCAGGCUGUGCAGCAACGACAUGGGAGACUUUCUCUGGAGCCACAACUGGACCAUGCACAGUGACCCGAAGUGUGGUAGGACACUGGAAUAUUCUCAGGACACAUGGAGCAUGUUUGCCUUUUGGAAAAAAAUGUUUCUUCUGAAUAAAAUUGGGAAAAAAUACCCAAACUCUC
This is a long non-coding RNA of Mauremys reevesii (Reeves's turtle), 491 nucleotides long. RefSeq lists it as uncharacterized. The transcript has 3 exons. NCBI's taxonomy places the organism in Eukaryota, Metazoa, Chordata, Testudines, Geoemydidae. The record is from RefSeq and is a predicted model, not a curated record.